GAGCAGGCAGAGAAAUAACACCUGUCAUAUUCCUCUAAAGAAGCUAAAUGCUUCCAGGCUUACCUGAGUAGGAAAGAUUUGACCCUGCAAUAAAUGAAAUUGCUGAGGGUUUUUUUAGUAUACUACAGCAGAGGCUGGUUGUCCUGAUCAAACUGGAGUUUCAGACAAGUGGUGACUCUGCUGCUCCCCUGAGAUGUGUGGCCCAGGGAGGCAGGGCUGUCUCAUCCUAUCCCAUCCUAAAUCUUCUAUUUUUGGCUGUUACAAACAGUGCCACCGUCCAUUUUGCUGUCUAGAAAAAGCCUCAGUUCUGAUUUAUCUGAUAUUAAGUAAUAAGCAAGUAUGGUGCAGCUGGAAAAAAAUUUGAUUAGCAAGAAUCCAAAAUGAGCUGAGCCCAUUAGUGCACUGAGAAAUAGUUUUUCCAGUUAUGAAAAUUUAAAUGCUGAAAACUAUGCUGGAGAGAGGAGGCAUGCUAUAAGUAUGAUGUUGGAUAGACUUAAAAAAAAAAAAGCAAUGCUGAGACAAUUUCCUCCUUGAAAAUAUUUUCAAAGCCUAGUACCUCCCGGAAGAAAGAGUUCCUAGAUGGGUUGGCACCAAUUUGGGGAUUUAGCUCUCUGUGAUCUUAAUAGUUUAACCUGUGGCAGGAAAAUAAGGGAAAAGUAAGAAGAUGAACACAAGACUCAGUGCAGGUAGGAAAUCCUGGCUGAGGGUGCAUGGCCAGAGCACCCCUGGAAAGGAAACCCAGGGCAAAGGCGUGGAGGCCACAAACGUUGGGCCAAGUGCGUGCUGCUGCUGCUGCUGCACAGUUGUCCUGAGCACAAAAACAUUUUCCCAAAGUUAUUCCAGAGCUGCCCACCGUUUCCCUUUCCCAUCAGAUUCACCUCAUUCCACCGCAGUGCCUAUGAGGCCACAACUCUUGUUUCUCCAGCAGCCAUAGUUAUUUACUGUCACGUGCAUGUCUUGAAAGAAAUGAGGAAAGAAAUGCAUCCCCAAAUGAAAACAUGGGGAUAAAUUUGGUGACAGUUGAAGUCAUUAUUGGGGAAUAAAAAGGAGAGACAUUUUUCUUUUUUCUUUCUGAAGCUUUGGCUCCCUUUUGGUUCUUCCAGUCCCUGACAAUGGUUUUGCACUUUUCAAUUCUCAAACAGUUGAAUUUUUGAUCUAAUUAUGGUGACGAUUGUGGUCACCUGCUGGCCAGCUGCACAAGCAAAGUAAUUGAGAAAAUGAACCUUUGGAUUCUUGGAGACUCCCACUUUAAAACAAAAAAGCAAUUUUUCUCCCCCAUGAGCAUCACCAGGGGGUGUUAAUGUGUCUCUUUGCAGGCUCCCAGGCCCACAGGUGAUGACCCUCUGCCUCCCUCUGUGAAAAUGUCCUUAAAAUUAUAUUUUAGUGAAAGCACCUGAGCCCUAGUGGGGCAAAGAGCAGUGCCAGGAGCCUGAACUCAGCCCCUGGGCCAAGAGAUAGAUGUGUUUGUCAGGGCUUGGGGCUGUGGAGAAAAACUAGCCUGACACUUGCUUAUAAAAUUAAAUUCUCAUUACAUUACAGCACUGUGAAACUCAGGAACCCCCAAACCACCAGACUCUUGGUACAUUCUUGACCAGCAGCCACCACUCUUGGUUGAACAAAUAUGGGAUAUGUGGGGAGGUAAUUUCAGGUUUAAUAAGGAAAUAAUUAUGAGACAUACAAAUUUAAAAAAGGAACUACAUAUUAUACACCCACUAAGCACAGGAAGAAUAUUAAGAAUUUAAAUACCAUGGCAGUACUCUGCCAGAUGUGUGUAGUCUGCAAUGUCUGAUUUUUAACUUGAUUCUUCCUGUGGAGAUUUACUGCUGAAGUAUGGAUAAGACAUUAAGUAAAAUAUUAACAGGCCAUUUUGAUAGUCAGGAGUACAAAACACUAAGCCCCAUCCCAACAGAGUGUCAAAGCCACACUACUAGGAUCCUUUUUCAGGUGUUUUCUUGUCACCUUAAGCCAGGUGGGUGGAGGGUAAGGAACCCUCCUACUAGUAAGUGUUAGGGAAGAAAUUGAUGGCCUUAAUUAAGAAUGACACUUUUUUACCUGCACAUUUGACUUUUUGUGAGCUCUUACAAGCAAGCCAGGGCUGGAAAUCCCUUUCUGCCACAGCUGGGAGGAUAACCCGGGAGAUGCAAAUGAGCCAGCAGCUGUUCCCGGGAGUUUUAGUUUCCCAGGCUUGGAGACAAGGAACCCUCCUUGCACGUGGUCAGGAGACUUGGCUUUAUAAACCAAACCAUUCCCUUCCUCAGUGGCAGGGCUGGGGGCAGAGCAGGGGAUUCAUCUCAGCUUCAUGAUAAUUUCUUGAUGAGAAUCUCCUUGGAAGCUGAGGAAACUGGAACGUCUUGGACUUGGCAUCUGACACCAAGAAUCUGCAAAUUUUAGAGGCUCUAUUGAGAGAACUCUUCAGGGGGACUGUAGCCUGGCAGGAUCUCUCUGUACCCCUGCUGCCCCCUGCCCCAGUGCUGUGACCAUGUUACAGUGGGAGCACAGACCUCUCUGGUGCCAAGGAUCUCUUAGCACCAUGCUCACACUCUGAGCUGGUGUAGCAUCCCCCGUCCUUUUUGUCUGAGAGCUGCAGCUGCCACGGGACUUGGAUUCAGAUGGCAGAAACAGGCAGGUACUCAUGGGAAAUGACACACUGUGCAUGACGGGAAUCGCGGAUCGCAGCGGACACUGCAGGAGAAGAGGUUGCUCCCGGCCCUGCUGUCCCCAGCGGAGGGAGGCCAUGGCACUACACCUGCAGCUCCCCUCCACGUGACAGCUCUCCCCUAAAACUCAGAGACCAACAGAGUGGUCCAGAAUUGGAUUGGAUUGGACCAGAAUUGACUUGAGUAAAGAGCUCAUGUUGACCUGAGGGGUUUUUUUCCUGCCAAGGAAGGUCUGAGGCUCCCACUGGACUUUGCUCACCUCCCAGUACAGAUUUAAGCUGGUGUCCCCUGGGAAUGGAAAUCAGCAGGAACUACUUGGUGUGAGUGACAGCCACCCAGAGGUGGGGGAUGUUUGCUGGAUUUUGGAUGUAAGCUCAGGCUCUGGAGGGGUAUUUGCAGGGAAGGAAAACAUCUUGGACUUGCCAGGUAAAUGCAAGCCCGAAGACAAGUCUGGAAAGCAUUUUAUGACCUUGUGUGAGGUUGGUCCUUCAGUGCUCCCAUGUGAGCUUUGCUCUCCUUGGCUCUUGGUCUGUGGGGUCAGUGGGACACUCAGGCUCUUGUGGUGCCAGGGAGCAGGAGAACAUUAUACACAUAUCCACGAGCAGCCAAAUCUUUAUUAAACCUCAAAAAGAUCAUUAAUCUCACCCAAAUAUUUGCUAUUUGUAAAGUUUAGGUAGGGGGUAGAUCCCCUCAGGUGUUUGGCGGCUAACACUUAUAAUUAAAACGAAUAACAGGAGCAACAAAGUGGAACUGCUGGUCAUAACUCCCUUGCCCCUCAGACUUUUUUUGAGUGCAUCCAGUUGGCCCCAAACCAAUACUAUUCCCCAGCAGAAACUUUCCAGCAUUUAUUCAUCACACACAGAGUUGACAAGUGCCUCCAAUUCUCUAGUUACUGAUGCACUAAUGAACAUCUGCUAGUCUUUCUUGCAAGUUCAAGGACUUGGGCAGGGAGUAGACUGGGGGCUGAAUUUCUCUGUGUGUCUGAAUAAGGUUAAAAGUGGAUUUUACAUGAGUGCAAAGCCUUACUCUGGGGUUCCUCAUGCUUCUCAAUGAAUGGCUUCCAAAGUCCGCUUUUGGCUGACAGCUGCUUCUGAGAAGUGGAGCUUUGAGAGAAGGAGUGAUUAUGUCUUGAACUAUCAGAAAAACAAGAAUUAGAGGUAAUUUUUACCUUGUAAGCAAGUUAAACUAUUCCAUGCAAUCUUUGCUGUUGCUAGUCCUGGAGAUCUUGAAAACUUCUGGCAACCAUGCAAGAUCUUGCUUUGCUACCUCUUGCUAGUGGGAAUGUAAAAAUUGCCCAACAAUAUAAGCAGUCAAACCAAUCAAUGGAUUCCACAAUGAGUAUUCUGAGAAACAGCUAACUACUUCUCCAAAACUUGGGUAUGUUUGCUUUGGAAAACCAUCUAGUAGCAAGGUCUGUCCUCUUAAACAAAAACUGCUCUAGAGCUUCUGCACUGUCACUUUAGUCCUGUCACUGUUUUAUUCUGGAUGUUGCGUACAGGAAGAAAAUUCAGCUUUGACUUUACCCAUUGUAUUAACAGCAGGUACAAAUUGCGGUGGCAUUUAACUCAGUCUUCUAGAAAGUCAUUUGUUUGUGUUUAAUGAUUCCUGUCUUCCUUACACCAGCCUUUUAACUCUCUCAUUCUGUGCCUUGUCACCCAUUACCACCCAGCAUGUUGUUUUCCAGUGUGCAACUGGGAUGUGGAAACAGCUGGAAAUAGGGAACCCAGCUCAAAGGAGUGUGUGCUCCCUGGUGGGUGUUGCUCAGCCAUGCAAGGAAGCCUAAGAGCUCUGAAAAAUAAGAAAGGUACAUGUGAAAGCUGAUGCAUAUAAUCACUGGGGCAUCUCCUUUAGGAGGUCACUGUCAGCACUUUUCUUGGAGGCUGGAGCUGUCUGGAGGUGGCUGGUUACAGGGGCCUGUGCAGGGCAGUGGUGUCGGUACGAACCGCUGUGCAGCACACAAAUCAUUUCUGAUGAAAAUUAAAUACCCAAAAAAGAAAUUCCACUACCAAUGGAGUGAGAAAAUCAUGCACAAAUGACUAAUAAAUAGCACCGCAAUCUCUCCUUAAGCUGUGAUUUAUCUGUCUGGAGACUUAUUAAAGAAAUGUUCCUGCUGUUUGCACAGCUUUUAUGACGGUGCUGCUUUUUGACCCUCUUGAGUGUCAAAGCCUCUUUCCCUGCUCUGGCAGUCCCAGCAAAGGCCCCACAGGUCCCCUCCACUAUGCAAUGCCUGUGAGCAAGUGCACCCACACCCUGGUGCCCUGGCCCUGCUCUCCCCCAGCCUCACACGGUUGUUCUGUGCUGCAGUGUGAUGUCCUUCUUGGGGUCUGUGCCAGUGAAGGAGCUUUCGGUGUUUCAUCUCCUCCUGAUAAAGCACAGGACUUAAGGGAAUGGCAGGAAGGUGAGGGAGGUUUAGGCUGGAUAUUAGGAAAAGGUUCUUCACCCAGAGGGUGUUUGGGUGCUGGAACAGGCUCCCCAGAGAAGUUGCCACAGCACCAAGCCUGGCAGAGCUCAAGAAGUGUUUGGACAAUGCUCUCAGGCACAUGGUGGAAUUCUUGGGAUGUCCUGUGCAGGACCAGGAGUUGGACUCAAUCCUGAUGUAUGCCUUCUAACUCAGCAUAUUCUAAGAUUCUAUGAUUCUAUGAUUCUCCUUUCCAGGGUUGUAGCAUCACUGCUGUGGGGAGCAGCUCAUGUAAGACCUUCCUCCUUCUCCCAGGCAAAACUCAUGCAAGUCUGUUUGGACCAGUAACUUUUGGAAUGUGAGUGGAUCAGGCUGUUUCGGGCAAAGCUGUGGGAGCAGUAGCCUGGCUGCUCCUGCCCUCUUGUCUGUCAAAGGCUUUCUCUGUACUCUGCAGUGCACUCAGAAACACUGAGCAAAGGCCAGAUAGAGGAAAAUCUCAAACACAUGACUUUAAAAAUAAAUGCUUUUUUCUUUCUUUUAGCUAAAAUGUGCACUUUGCAUAGCUGACUCAUGAGUUCCAGCACAUUUGGGGUCAGCAAUACUUUGAGGUGCCAGUGUCUUGCUGACAUUAUUGGAUAAUGGGGCAACAAACCCCUACAUGUCUUUUUGAUGUGUGGGACAUGACAGAAGCAGCUAAAGCUAUUCUGACUCAGCCCUCAAGCGUUUCUGACAUCAAAGUGUAGACAUAGGCAGUACUGAAUGGUCAGGAGUUUGUGUUGAAUCUUUUCUCACUUCUGUCUGGGGAAAAAAUCUUUAGCUGCAAAUGAGGUUGACUUUCACUCUGACAGUAGUUCACCCAGUAGAAUAUAUAGUAUUAUGUGACAUGUAAAAUUGAGGUAUGAUAUAAUUUAUAGGUUCCUUCCCUCUUUCUGAGAUGCACAUCCAAUGCACAUAACCCACUUUUAAUAAUUAAAACAGUGAAGUAUUUAAAAAAUCUCAGAUCUCAGAGUGGGAGAUGGGAGGGAGAAAAAGGCAUGUGAGGUCUCAGCUUUCAGUGCCCUUUGCAGUGCAGCACAGGGAAUAUUUGCACUCAGGUACGUGUUGUCCCUGAUCCAUUGAUCAGAAUUGUCUCCAGCCUCCAGCCCCUUGCAUGGCACCAGCUGAAUAAGCAAGUCCAGCUCCACCUUCCUCCUCUCUCCCAUGGCUGAAGGACCUUCCCAGGAACCUGUCAUAGAAGUUAAGUUGGCUUCCCAGAUGUUCCCAGGUCUGCACACAAAAGCCACACUCCACGUUGGACCGUCACAUUCCUGACUGCAGCAUCUGUUCCAUUCUGAAAACUGAAGCUGUUUUUACUUUAUAUGAUGGAGUUAAUUACAAAGCAAUUAAUUGACUGAGUUAUUCAUGAGAGGUUUUGGUCAUCCUGUGCAUGAUGGAACUUUGAGUUCCUUUUAUUUUUCUUUCAUGUCACAGCCAGGACAAUCACAGAAAAUCUAAUGGCAGCAUCUGUUUGCCCAGGAAGGUGGGCAAGGUUGACCUCUUUCCAUUUCUUUGCUUUGAGGGGACUUUGGUGAUCCACAGUCAAUAUGUUGGUCCCUGUGGAUGGUGAAUCUGACCUGCACUGCAGGCACUAAAUUUGGCACUGGCAUCCCUGCAUGUGGGCACUCAGGCAAUGUGUGCAUGGAGGAAGUGUGUGCAGCUGCUGAGGUUUUGAAACCUUUUUGCAAGGAUUAAGAGACACAGGUUGCUGCUUUUUUGGCCUAAGAGGAGGAAACAUUACUUUACUGUAAACAGAUGUUAAAUAAGGAUGGCCAAACCCUGCAUCCAGCAGUGACUCUCCUGCAUUGCCACAGGUCAAGGGCAGGGUGUCGAUUUGAAGGUGGAUGUUUCCUAAUGUGCAGUCGUUGGUAACCUAAAGCAGGUUUAUGACAGAGCCAAGAUCAGGCAUUAAUGCAAUAGACUGGUAAUUCAAUCACUUUAUAGAAGUUGAUCUGUCCUUUUUAUUACAAUUAUUGUCAGCCCGGGUGUUUCGUUCCAUCACUGAAAAUAAACAUCAUUUAUCAUACUUGUAAAGAUUAGCCCCUGACAGCUCCAGCUCUGCUUUGCAUAAAUGUGUAUUAAUGUCGGCUCUGUCUGAAGUGGAGAGAGAAGUCUAUAUUUCACAAGAAUGAUUAGACAGUGUCACCACUGCUUUAAGUAAUGUCUUAUCGUGACGGAUAAUCAAACUGUGAAAAAAACCAACAAAAAAUGGCAAUUUGUUGCAUAUACAUUUUUUGCUUUAUUGGGCUGAGAAAUAGCAAUAUUUUUGCUACUGCCUUUUUGAGGUUUGUGAUGUCCAGGCUCUGGGAUGCUGAUACUUCUCUGGGUUUCAGGGGGCACAUGAUGUUUCAGCUCAUCGGCAGAGCUGGGACCUCUGUGCAAGGCUGCCUUGAGUCUUCCUGUUUGAACACCCAGGAGUCUACAACAUUGCCAGGCUUUCAACAGUCUGCACCUUGGGAUGAGUGAAAUUUGGAAAGUUUCAAGCUAAAAUGAUGAUGACAAUGGUCAGAGUGAGAUUAAGGGAAAAUAUGAUGCCCAGGCUAAAAUAUUCUUGGAGACAUUUUCCAGAGAAGCUCUAGGGCUCCAGGGCCUUGAAGCAAGAACUCAACAGUUGGCAUGCGCCUGCCCUCAGGUCAGGGCUGCACUUUUGCUGCUCCUGUCAAAAUGCACCCACAUUAAUUGCAGGAAAAAAAGAACUGUUUGUCAGUGUGUACUUUAGAGACACUAGAGCUCAACAGCCGAACUCUGUGUGUUUGAGGGCUCAGCUAACAAGAGGGAAGGAACCCAGUUCGGUGACUGUGUCUCCUGGCAGUCACCAUGGAAGAUGUCUCUCUGGCAUCCAGAAUGAAGAACAGCUAAAGACGUGAGCUGAAGUCUCACUCUUUGCCAUGGCAAUGCCAAGAAUGUUCCCUUGUCACCCGAACCAUUCACUCUCUGAGAGGGAAAUGCACCUGGGCACCGAUGUCCAUCACACACUGACUGAAGUCAGCUCUCUGCUGCAGUGCACAAAAACAGCUCUGCAACUUCUGUGAAGAGCAUCACAGCUGAAGCAAAGUCCUUAUCAUCAGUAUCAGGGUUGGUACUGGGACUAUUUAGUCAGUUUUAGAAACUGAAGAAGGGAAACCAAACCCAACCCCAAGUAUGUUUCCAGGAGCCACUUUUGUUUUGCUGAGGUUUGAGUAGUGCACUGAAAAGCCUAUGACUUCUGGGCAUUACACCUGGGUUUUGUGAAAGCCCCAGGCUGUGGAGUAAGGGUACUUUUGUGAGAGUAUCUGCUUCCAUUCUUGCUGUUUUAAAAAAAAAUGUCCAAAGUUUGUGCCUUUAUGGGAAAAAAAAAGCACACAGCAACUUGGAGGCAUGUAUCCUCAAAAGAAAAUGUCAAAUAAAACCUUUUCUUUAUAAUCUUAUAAUUUCUAAGCCAGCCACCUUAUUUUGAGAUGCUUGUGUUUGAGAUCAGUGUUAAUUGAAGAUGACACCUUAAAAUUAACCCACUGCAGAGGUGUGUCAUUGAAUCAGAUCCUAAAGGAGCAGUAAUACAUUAAGUACCAUAUAUGAAAAUAAAUAAACCUCUUCCCUGCAUAACUAAUAGCUACUUCUACUAUUAAAGCUGAAGUAUUUAAAACACUGGAACUAUCCUGAGUGUUUAUACUGCUAUUUUUUUUCCCUUUUUUUAAUGACAGCCCCAGUUUAUUCCCUUUCAGACUAUAGUUGCCUCCAGUUUUACCUUGUUUGCUCUGAUUUGGUGCUGGUGGUGAUAGAAAAACCACUGUGGCACAGCUUUCCCUUUGCUAAAGAACCUGAAACUGCAACUUCACUCUGGAAUAAAACUUAAAAAAAAGAAGAAGCAAAAGUGAUGCAGGUGAAGGAGCCAGUUGGUGGUGGUGGAGGGAAGGAGUGGGUGAGGAUGGCACUGGGACCAUUAGCGAUUGAGGAAAUGCUGAUUUUAGCCAGUGGUAUUAGCAGCUGGCACUUUUUAAAGUGCUAAAAGCUUUGGACACAGAUUACCAUGCGCAUAUUUCAAUUUCCUUUAAAUCCAGGGAGAUUUCCUCUUAAAGCACACUCUCUCUCUCUGACUCUCUUUUUAUUUUUUAUUCAGCUAGAUUGUGCUUGAUGGGGACUGUUAACUGAAUGCAGCAUAUUAUAUAUUACUUCAAUAAAUCACCAACAGCCGAAGCAUUCAAUAUCAUGCAGAGCAGUAAUCAGGGGAAGUCUUAAUCACACUUUAAAUGGUUUGGAUUUAUGCUCUGCUUUCCACAGGCUACUGGCACUGCUGGAAAGGCACAGAGGCACGGCUCCGUGGUGGCCCGCCAGGACCUGGUCCAGCCGGUGCCAGGGGCUGGGAGCACAGCCAGGAUGCAGGGUAUGUGCCAGGGGUGCAGUGCUCGGGUCAGCAAGGACGAGCAGCCUCCAGGGCUACUCCUGGAGCUGUUUGUACCUGUGCAAUGGUCUCUUUAGAUUGCCUGGGCAUUUUGGUGUAAAAAGACUGUCAAUGUAAACAGCUGCCGUUAUUGCACCAAGGUUUUACAGAUGUGUGGCAAAUCCUGGCUUUGUUUUGACUGAAAAAAUGUAUUUUGACAUAGAAUGUAUUUUAAAAUAAAUCAUCAGAUAAGAGCAAAACCAGCUGCUAUAUUCCUUUGCCUUUUGUAUUAUGUCCAGGAGAUUAGAAACGCCUCCUGGAUUUUUGUCAGGGAGGGGGAGAAUUAAAGAGGAAGGGCUGGCUUAAAAAAACUAAACAAGCCACAAACCCCCUUAAAUAUAAUCUUUAAUUUAUGACUGGUGAUCCCCCAAGGCUUUCCAUGAAAGUAAAAUGUUCCAGCCAGGGGCUGUGGGCGUGAGGUCCAUGUGGGUCUCACGGAGGUGAGUGCCAAGUGUGAGCCCACCGGCAGCCGCCGGCGGAGGAUGAGAACCUUCCUUCCCUGCACCGUCACGCCCGACCUUCACCUUCACCCUUGCAACGAUAUACAGAUGUGCAGUGACGUCACCUGUCCUGGCCAAAGGGAGAAAUCAGCAGAAAACAAUAGCCCCUUUUGGGGGGAAGUUAAUAAUUUUGGUUGACCCUGUGGCCUGGAGCGCGGCACAGACGUGAGCGCGGUCACCGACUGUUGGCACUCGCUGGGGAUGGGGACACGGCGCUCCGGGUGGGAGGUUAACAGGCUUGUUAAGCACAUCUGGCCAGAAGAGCCCUGGGCACACUGUGAGCUGCUUUCCCAGUUCAGAAAUACUUUGUAGGCCCCCUCAGCUGGAGAGAGUGAGUCUCCCUUCCACCCCGGCGUUAAAAGUGGUCACACUGCCUCCACCAUAAAUUACUGUGCCAGCAGUGGAAAUACAAACGAGACCCAAGCGGAGCAGAGACGCAACAGCUGAGAUGGUUAAACAAUAGCCCUGCACACAGGAAACUCCCCCAUAAUGGUGGAUUUAAGUUCCAGGGAGUUUGGUAUCUGACGGUCGGGUUCAUCCUCCCCACCCCCUGUUUUGUUUUUCAUUCGAUCCCAUGUUGUUCGUGUCUCUUAAUAGGGCAUCCUUCAUUAUCAUUAUCCCUAAUAGUGGUUUAUUGUAUUAGUUACAGUUAAUUUAAAUGUUACCGAGGCAUUGAAAACAGAUUGCAGAUGUUUUGAAACAGAUGUUGUUUUAAUGUUAAAACAAAAUCAUGAAUAUUUAUGGGUCAUUAUUGCCUGGGUUGAAUUAAGCUCUUUAAAUAGUAAUGUAUGGGCUUAAUGUCUUUUGAAGGAAAUGCUCCAAAAAAAGGUGAAUGGAAAAACACUGUCAUGUAAAGAUGUAUAAAUAAUUUCUUCUGGCAACACUGUGUUUUUCCUCUAUGAACGGUCAGAAUUAAUUACUGUUAUAUUACUAAACCAGGUACUGUUCUUGUUCUCUAGCUGAAGUUAACCUAAGAAAAUUUUUUGAGCUCACAAACACCUACAGAGCUCUCUAUUUUGUAGUGAAGGGGCCCACCUGCUCCCUGAAAGCAGACCUAAAGUUGCAGGAAUAUUCUGAGUGGAGUCAAAGGUUUUAAAGGAAAAUAAGGUGAAGAUGACGCAAGCACACAACUCACUUGGUGUCAGUCUUUCCUACAGAAACACAAAGAGGGUUUGUUAAUGCCACAUGCAGGCUGUCUCUGCCUGAGUCAUAUUUCUUUCUUUAUGGAGAUGGAGUUAGUCUUCAAGGCAGCAGCUCAAAAUGGUCUUUCAUUCAUUACAAAGUUAUUUAGUUACGGGUAGGUAACUCUGAAUGGCAUUUCUACAUCUUGCACUUUAUUAGUUGAUCCUAGCUGCUAAAUGACGUGGAGAGAUCAGCAUAUUACGGCAGGGGAGUUCAGUUGUUUUGGCCAGUCUGAGAUUGGGUCUAACAUGCUAGAGUUGAAAAUUUGCCUUUGAGAUGAAGAACUCAAGGGAUGUUGAUAAUGAUUAACUCAAGAGGAAGGGGGGUGAGAUAAUACAGUGGAAAUUUAAAAAUAAGAAGUCUGUAAACACAGGGAUGAUUUCCUCCUCCACAGACAAGCAACACUUCCACUGCCUUAGGAUGAGUCAUGCCCUAUUUAGAAGAGGAACAGCCCAAGCAUUUGUUUGUCAGCACUGAGUCUGGUUGAUGCUGGGAUAGGAACGGUGUCGGCAAGGGGGCAUGCAGCCACAACCCAUCUUUGCUUGUGUCCACUGGGACUAUGUGCUCUAACCUGCAGCAUUGAGUCUUUGUGUAUUUGUCCUUUUUUAUUUUUUCCUUUCUCCCUCUCCAAAUGUAUACUUUGGAGGAAAGCCCGAGUUCUCUUGAAGCUGGCAGAACUCCUUGUCUCCAGUCACAAAACCCCUGAGCAGAUGGGCACAGGUUUUGGCUAACCACAGUGGCAGUUGUUGAGCAUUAAGGUCUGUAAUCUCAUCCAGGAGCAUCUGAGCAUUCCCCUUCUCCCUCGGCCAAGGGCAGUGAGUGUCUCCCGUGAUGCUCAGGCUGAUGUCCAGCACAGGAAUCUCACUGCUGCCACAGAGCAGGGGUUUGCCCCAGGGCCUCAGGACUGCAUGGCCAGGAAAGCAAGCAGGGCUGUACCAGCCUUUCAGCUCCCAGUGUGAUGUAGGUAUUGGAGUCACAGGAGAAGUGCUGAAGAGCUGCACGUUGCAUCUUACUACUGACCUGAGUAGAGGCAAAGGACAGAUGUGAUUGGAAACAUCAGACUUUGUUUACUUUUCUGGGAAUUGCUCAGGCAAGUUUUAUAUUUCUAAUCUCUUGAUUUAAAAGCCAUACUGAGAAAUCACAUACAUCCAACUGAAGAGGCAACUUCAAUGGCUUGGACUUGCAGUUUCACUGCUUCCAUGUCCUGAGUAAAGUCUAGUACAGUACAUUAUAUUCAGUAGACUGCCAGAAAGGGAGUUCAUUUAGUUUGAUGACAGAUUAAUACUGAUUCACAAAUUAAUUUUGUCUCUUUGUAUAUCAAGGGUGUCCGCAACUUAUUUAAUUUGUAAUAAAUAUAAUUAUAGAAAUGAAUGAGCUAUCAAGAUUUUUAAAGUAUGAUCCAUCAAUGUUGGCAUGACUUGUAAUCCUGGUCAUUAUAAAUAAAAUGGGUCUUUUGCAAUAUGGAAUGCAAUUUUCCCUGUAGUUUGCCUCAUUAUUUUCUGACAUGUGGGUUAAUAUUAAAUUACAAUGCCUUAAUUUUCAAAUCAGGGCUCAAUUUGUAAAUAAGAGGUUAAUAAAUAACCUUUCCAGCUGGAGGCCUUAUUGUGACUUCAUUAAAAUAAACUUUUAAAUGUGAUGAAGCCUUGAUGAUACCCCCAUUGUCUCAUCCAGUACAUUGCAAAACAAAAAAAAUCAUCUCCUAUGGCUGCCAAAAAAACCUACCCAAAGUCACAGUGCCUGCAAUACAUUCCAGUGGUCUUUUAAAUGUCCCAUUUUACUGGGCCACACUCUGCCUUGCUCCAUCUCCUGCUCCCAUGGAGCACGUGUGAGCUGUCCUCCUUAGUGUGACCCUGAGCACACGGUGAAGGCUGCAGGUGGUUGGUGUCACACAUCUCAGUGGUCCUGCAGUGCCUGCUGCUUGUCAGUCCUGUCACGGAGCUCAGACCUACUCCUGCUUCUUUGUCUGCUUUUUGCUGCAUUUUUGCGAGGUUUAGAUAGGAUAUUGGGAAAAAUUUCUUCACUGAAAGGGUUGUGAAGCAUUGGAAUAGGCUUCCCAGGGGAGUGGUGGAAUCACCAUCCCUGGAAAUGUUCAAAGAAAGUGUAGAUUUGGUACUUUGGGACAGGGUUAGGUGGUGAAUUUGGCCGUGUUGGUUUUAUGGUUGGACCAUAUGGUCUUUGAGGUCUUUUCCAGCCUAAAUGAUUCUGUGAUUCUCUAAUGCUCAUGGUCGUGUCUCUCAUUAUCACUUGCAGUGAAAAAUAAAAGAUUUUUCUGAACAUUUUUCACAGGAAUCUCAUGUUCUAAAUUUCUGCAGCUGCAGAGAUGGAAGGAAAGCUCUGACUUCUCCAUUGAAGGUGCACACCUGUGACUGGCAAUGUUUGGGGCCCUGGAUCUAAACUAAGCUGGUUUGUUCUUUUCCCAUUGCAGAUUUCCAGCUUGCACAAAGGCUAUUUUUCUUGUAAAGGGGGAGUUUCCCCUGAGAGAAAAGUUAUAUAUGCAAGUUUAUAAAAAAAAAAAAAACCAAACACACAGCCCCAAAACAAGAACUCCAAGAUAUGGUAGGAAAACUCAAAAAAUCAGCCCAUUUAAAGGAAGCAGCAGGUUGCUCUGUGAGACAAAGUCUGAACUAGUUUUGCCCAUGAGUGCUGUUGCUCUGUGCUUUAACUGUGAGAAGUGGUAGGUUCAAAAUUUGUUGUCUUAAGACAAAACCAAUGACCAAAAAAUCCCAGGUCAUUUGAGGAUUUGUUUCCCCUAAUUUGAGUAGUUUUCAUUUACUCUAAUAGAGAACACUGAUGCAUGCACACAAGACCUAGUUUACAAUUGCAGUCCCCUGGUUCUCCUGCUAUUUUUAUUCAAAAAGUGUCUUUUAUUUUUCAGUAGUACUAAAGGUACUUACUGCAAUACUGAAAUAUCUUAAAAUAGUAAACCAUAUCCUAUCAUUGAGGUUUAUUCUAAGGGGAGAAAAUACCGGUGUUUGUUCACAGUUGUGCUCACAAAAAAGCCACUUCUGAGCCCUGCUGAAUCUGUUGGAACAUCUGUGGGCCAGUGCUUUGCCUGAAGCACUUUGUCAGCACUUAAAUAUGGGCUGGGAAAGAGGUUUUACCUAAACUAUUUUAUGUGAUGUCCAGAAUAAUUUUGAACACCACUAAAAAUGUGGGUUUUCUUGUUAAAAGGAGGGAUGAUGCUAAUCUAAAAGGCCCUCAGCCCCUUAGCCCCUUACUUUAUUCUACCUUUUUCUUUUGUGAGAUCUGCUCAAUUCCAACUUCCUGCAAGUGAAACAACUCUGUACAAAGAUCACGAGUGGAAAACAACUCCAUGUGAGCUCCUUAGAGACUUAACUUUUUCUGGUACUGAUUCACCUAUGAUGAAACCAGCCCAUGUCUCUGCAUAAUAAAUCUUUCUUUAAAAAAAAAAAAAAAAAAAAAAAAAAAAAAAAAAAAAAGAAAAAGAAAAAGUAAA
Prinia subflava (tawny-flanked prinia) is the source of this 14647-nucleotide long non-coding RNA. RefSeq lists it as uncharacterized. The record is from RefSeq and is a predicted model, not a curated record. Lineage: Eukaryota; Metazoa; Chordata; Aves; Passeriformes; Cisticolidae. The transcript is spliced from 7 exons.